RNAcentral lists this ribosomal RNA (501 nucleotides) under uncultured bacterium. RNAcentral's name for it is "partial 16S ribosomal RNA". It matches the Rfam family "Bacterial small subunit ribosomal RNA", at positions 30 to 523 of the family's 1533-position model. The record is from RNAcentral.
AUUGAACGCUGGCGGCAGGCUUAACACAUGCAAGUCGAGCGGGGGAAGGUAGCUUGCUACCGGACCUAGCGGCGGACGGGUGAGUAAUGCUUAGGAAUCUGCCUAUUAGUGGGGGACAACAUCUCGAAAGGGAUGCUAAUACCGCAUACGUCCUACGGGAGAAAGCAGGGGAUCUUCGGACCUUGCGCUAAUAGAUGAGCCUAAGUCGGAUUAGCUAGUUGGUGGGGUAAAGGCCUACCAAGGCGACGAUCUGUAGCGGGUCUGAGAGGAUGAUCCGCCACACUGGGACGGAGACACGGCCCAGACUCCUACGGGAGGCAGCAGUGGGGAAUAUUGGACAAUGGGGGGAACCCUGAUCCAGCCAGGCCGCGUGUGUGAAGAAGGCCUUAUGGUUGUAAAGCACUUUAAGCGAGGAGGAGGCUACUCUAGUUAAUACCUAGGGAUAGUGGACGUUACUCGCAGAAUAAGCACCGGCUAACUCUGUGCCAGCCGCCGCGGUAA